AGUGAACGCUGGCGGCAGGCCUAAUACAUGCAAGUCGAACAGCAGCACAGUGGAGCUUGCUCCAUGGGUGGCGAGUGGCGGACGGGUGAGGAAUACAUGGGAAUCUGCCCAGUCGUGGGGGAUAACGUAGGGAAACUUACGCUAAUACCGCAUGCGCCCUUCGGGGGAAAGCCGGGGACCUUCGGGCCUGGCGCGAUUGGAUGAGCCCAUGUUCGAUUAGCUAGUUGGCGGGGUAAAGGCCCACCAAGGCGACGAUCGAUAGCUGGUCUGAGAGGAUGAUCAGCCACACUGGGACUGAGACACGGCCCAGACUCCUACGGGAGGUAGCAGUAGGGAAUAUUGGACAAUGGGCGCAAGCCUGAUCCAGCCAUGCCGCGUGAGUGAAGAAGGCCCUCGGGUUGUAAAGCUCUUUUGUCCGGGAAGAAAAGCAUCGGGCUAAUACCUCGGUGUUCUGACGGUACCGGAAGAAUAAGCACCGGCUAACUUCGUG
RNAcentral lists this ribosomal RNA (490 nucleotides) under uncultured bacterium. RNAcentral describes it as "partial 16S ribosomal RNA". It matches the Rfam family "Bacterial small subunit ribosomal RNA", at positions 29 to 507 of the family's 1533-position model. The record is from RNAcentral.